GCACACCUUCAGUCAACUAGCUAGGGCCUUGCGGCUCUGAAUUGAGGUCAGCCUGGCCCUGAGCUUUUGGGGUGUUCCAGGGCAGGCUGUGUCUCUAAACCAUUGCAUGGCUUUUCUGUCUAUAGGUCCAGGCACAGAGUCGAGUUGUGCAGUG
RNAcentral lists this small nucleolar RNA (154 nucleotides) under Ovis aries (sheep). RNAcentral's name for it is "Small nucleolar RNA SNORA42/SNORA80 family (ENSOARG00000023947.1)". Lineage: Eukaryota; Metazoa; Chordata; Mammalia; Artiodactyla; Bovidae. The record is from RNAcentral.